CAAGAACAAGAAGAGAGAAAGAAGAAAAGAAGAAGAGAAGAGAAGGAAAGAAGAGAGGAAGAAGAGAUAAGGAAAGAGUUGAGAUUUCUGAGACAGCAAUUAGAAGAUCCAUUGUGCGGGCAAUCUGAAUCGCAGUGUAAGAACCUGCUCAACCCAAAGGAGUGAAUUUCUUAGCCUUGACUACCAAGAUGACGAUGGAGGUAUUCUGUAGACAAUGGCCAUGGAUCACAUGACCUAAAUUCAAGCAGAUGAACUCGACCACGGACCUACCUGUGACUGUGACAAUUGUACCUAUAGAGGCCAGUGUUACUAAGGAGUAGCGAUAUCACUGACCAUUCUUUUUGUGUACAUACAAGCUUCGGCAGAGAUCACUUUUGGUGAUCUGAGCUCUUUUUGAGAGAUGACAUAUAUUGGGUAAAUAUUCCAUGAUAUUUUGGAUAACUGUAAUAUAUGUGGAUAACUAUAAGAUAUGGAUGACUGUAUUAUGUCUAUAAAUAUAAAAAUGAUAUCACGUAGAGACACUGGAUGGCUAUGAAUUUUAGUACUGUACAUAUGGUGUAUGCAGCAACUAUGAUCUCUAGUUAGGUAUUGUGGUGUUGUGGACUACCCAGAGUCUGGAUC
Long non-coding RNA from Macadamia integrifolia, 621 nucleotides. RefSeq lists it as uncharacterized. Lineage: Eukaryota; Viridiplantae; Streptophyta; Magnoliopsida; Proteales; Proteaceae. The record is from RefSeq and is a predicted model, not a curated record. The transcript has 3 exons.